GGUCCGGUGGUGUAGUGGUUAUCAUGUCUGCUUUACACGCAGAAGGUCCCCGGUUCGAACCCGGGCCGGACCA
Molecule: non-coding RNA, 73 nt
Organism: Paragonimus heterotremus
Lineage: Eukaryota; Metazoa; Platyhelminthes; Trematoda; Plagiorchiida; Troglotrematidae
Source: the annotation of a GenBank genome assembly